GCAGAUCCAUUUCUCUGCCACCGAAUACAUUAGCAUGGGAUAAUGGAAUAGGACCCUGUCCUCCUAUUUUCAGUUGGUUUUGACACGCGAGGACCAGGGUAAUGAUUAAUAGGGAUAGUUGGGGGCAUUAAUAUUUAAUUGUCAGAGGUGAAAUUCUUGGAUUUAUGAAAGAUUAACUUCUGCGAAAGCAUCUGCCAAGGAUGUUUUCAUUAAUCAAGAACGAAAGUUAGGGGAUCGAAGACGAUCAGAUACCGUCGUAGUCUUAACCAUAAACGAUGCCGACCAGCGAUUAGGAGACGUUGAAUACAAAACACCACCAUUGGUGCGGUCGUCCUUGGCAUUUGGUCGU
This 349-nucleotide ribosomal RNA is filed under the name Acanthamoeba genotype T11. RNAcentral describes it as "SSU rRNA". It matches the Rfam family "Eukaryotic small subunit ribosomal RNA", at positions 780 to 1094 of the family's 1831-position model. Lineage: Eukaryota; Discosea; Longamoebia; Acanthamoebidae. The record is from RNAcentral.